CUUGACCUCAAAUCAGGUAGGAC
RNAcentral lists this ribosomal RNA (23 nucleotides) under Candida tropicalis. RNAcentral describes it as "partial 28S ribosomal RNA". Lineage: Eukaryota; Fungi; Ascomycota; Pichiomycetes; Serinales; Debaryomycetaceae. The record is from RNAcentral.